This is a long non-coding RNA of Ricinus communis (castor bean), 394 nucleotides long. RefSeq lists it as uncharacterized. NCBI's taxonomy places the organism in Eukaryota, Viridiplantae, Streptophyta, Magnoliopsida, Malpighiales, Euphorbiaceae. The transcript is spliced from 3 exons. The record is from RefSeq and is a predicted model, not a curated record.
ACUGCCUAAUUCCUCCGCAUAUAUGAUAUAGUAUUAUCCUCUCAUAUAUCAGUCACCUCAAAACCCUAGUGAUAUUUCCUUUCUUUUUUUUCCUCCAAUUUGUUUACAUUUUAGUUCUUAAGUUCAAUUUUCUGUGGGCACUAGGUCUUCUUUAAGCUCUUAAGGUAAAAUUAGAGUGGAAGAAGUUAAAGAUACCGAGGCUUACGAGGAGGAGCUACUCGACUACGAGGAAGAAGAGGAAAAAGCCCCUGACUCUGUCUCUGCUAAAGCGGCUGAUACUGCUAAAAAGGGAUAUGUUGGGAUACACAGUUCAGGUUUCAGAGACUUCCUACUGAAGCCAGAGCUUCUACGAGCCAUUAUAGAUUCUGGAUUUGAGCAUCCUUCAGAAGGCAAG